AGAUCAAUCAAUAACAAAAUUUCCGUCCGUCAAGACAUUAAAAUAUAAAAAAAUAGGUGUGUUCACAGAUGGCCAUGGUCUGUGGUAGACCAUGGGCUUAGUCCAAGGUUUCUUCUAUCUGCUCUUUGCUAUUAUCACAUCACUGUCCAGUGCUUUUGGUUGUACCAGGAAAGUAUACAUUGCCUGCAGGAAACCUGCGCCUUGUGGAAAGUAAAACCGUGAUACAAUAUGUCUAAAGUGGAUUGGACUUUUCUCUACAUAAUGAUUGUCACUCUGUUCUCAAUGUUUGGCUCCAGCUGGGCCUGUUGCAAAAAGAAAAUCCCAUGUACCGGCCGGGCGCCAUGUAGGAGAGGACCUUUCCGAAACUAGCCUUAAAAUGACUUAAUUUUUGAUUCAAGGUCAUAAUUAUUCAUGCACAGAAGACUAGUGAAUGAGGGAUUAAAAUGUAUAAAAGAACUGAAGGAAAUAUAAAUCCAUAUACAUGCAACCACCGAUGAUCCUGAUUCGUUAUUGAAGUCUUCGAAAGUGCUUCCAAAUGGAAACAUUUCAUUGAUGUACAAAAAUAAUAACCAAAGUGCUCAAUUUAAAUUGGAUUUUAAGCAAUAAAA
Molecule: long non-coding RNA, 608 nt
Organism: Nymphalis io (European peacock)
Lineage: Eukaryota; Metazoa; Arthropoda; Insecta; Lepidoptera; Nymphalidae
Exons: 3
Source: RefSeq, a predicted model, not a curated record